AUGCUUGCUUUGUCAGCAUGUAUACUAAAAUUGGAAUGAUACAGAGAAGAUUAGCAUGGCCCUUGCACAAGGAUUACAUGCAAAUUUGUGAAGCAUUCUAUAUUAAA
This is a small nuclear RNA of Otolemur garnettii (small-eared galago), 107 nucleotides long. NCBI's taxonomy places the organism in Eukaryota, Metazoa, Chordata, Mammalia, Primates, Galagidae. The record is from Ensembl.